AUGAUGGAAAUCAAUAUUGCAAGGUGUCAUCAUUUAGAAGCACAAGGGAUAUUCUUCUCCAACAUUUUGAGAACAAAAGGAAGGGAAAAUACUCAUAAACUUCUGUGCAAUGUAGUGUCCCUGAAUUCAAGAUGGGACUUUCACAUAUUAGCCUCUUCCUGCCAAACGUUUACCGCAGUGUAUCCAAGAAGGCCAUUUUUCUGUAGAACUCAUUCUAUGGCGACUCGUUUAGAGGAAUCUGAAUCAUUACAAGGAAAUAAUCCUAACGAGGAUAUGGAUCCAUCUACAGACUCAGAAGACGAGAAUGUGUCACAAUCACUUACCAGUGAACAGAUAAAGGUAUUGCUUGCUGAUACUCAAAGAGCAAACCUCACUAAGAAGCUUAGUGAAGCCAACCAACAAAAUCGGUUCCUAAAAAGACAGUUGUAUAUAAAGGAGGAUGCAUUGGUAAAAUUUAAAAGUGAACUUGCUGUCAUAGAGCUUGAAGUUCAG
This is a non-coding RNA of Vicia faba (fava bean), 492 nucleotides long. NCBI's taxonomy places the organism in Eukaryota, Viridiplantae, Streptophyta, Magnoliopsida, Fabales, Fabaceae. The record is from the annotation of a GenBank genome assembly.